GAAUCUCCUUUUAAGAUUACAUUCUGUUCUCAGCCCCACGCAAACUUCUACAGACCUUCACAGGUAAUCCAUAAUGGAGUAAUCCCAGGAGGUAAUCAAGAACUGACUAUAAGUUGAAAAUACAUUGGUUACGUGGCAACGCACUUGAAGAAAAAUCUUUAAGGUGGAAAAAACAAGUACCCAAUUAAAUGGGAGGGUAAGCAAGCACCUGGUCCUAAAAUGCACUCAAUUAAA
RNAcentral lists this long non-coding RNA (234 nucleotides) under Homo sapiens (human). RNAcentral's name for it is "HSALNT0271829". The record is from RNAcentral. Lineage: Eukaryota; Metazoa; Chordata; Mammalia; Primates; Hominidae.